This 418-nucleotide ribosomal RNA is filed under the name uncultured bacterium. RNAcentral describes it as "bacterial SSU rRNA". It matches the Rfam family "Bacterial small subunit ribosomal RNA", at positions 335 to 766 of the family's 1533-position model. The record is from RNAcentral.
ACUCCUACGGGAGGCAGCAGUGGGGAAUAUUGCACAAUGGGAAGGCCAUCGAUGCAGCGACGCAGCGUGCGGGAUGACGGCCUUCGGGUUGUAAACCGCUUUCAGCAGGGAAGAAGCGCAAGUGACGGUACCUGCAGAAGAAGUACCGGCUAACUACGUGCCAGCAGCCGCGGUAAUACGUAGGGUACGAGCGUUGUCCGGAAUUAUUGGGCGUAAGAGCUCGUAGGUGGUUGGUCACGUCUGCUGUGGAAACGCAACGCUUAACGUUGCGCGUGCAGUGGGUACGGGCUGACUAGAGUGCAGUAGGGGAGUCUGGAAUUCCUGGUGUAGCGGUGAAAUGCGCAGAUAUCAGGAGGAACACCGGUGGCGAAGGCGGGACUCUGGGCUGUAACUGACACUGAGGAGCGAAAGCAUGGGG